AACUGUUCAUGAUGACCAAAAAAAUAAUGGGAAUCUCUCUGAAAAAGAAUGAAAGAGCCUUUUUGGACUGAAAUGGCC
Small nucleolar RNA from Paramormyrops kingsleyae, 78 nucleotides. Its record names the gene SNORD79. It matches the Rfam family "Small nucleolar RNA SNORD79". Rfam says of the family: snoRNA U79 or Z22 is found in intron 7 of the gas5 gene in humans and is also present in mice. Lineage: Eukaryota; Metazoa; Chordata; Actinopteri; Osteoglossiformes; Mormyridae. The record is from Ensembl.